This 443-nucleotide ribosomal RNA is filed under the name uncultured Lentisphaerota bacterium. Its description in RNAcentral is "bacterial SSU rRNA". It matches the Rfam family "Bacterial small subunit ribosomal RNA", at positions 917 to 1359 of the family's 1533-position model. The record is from RNAcentral. Lineage: Bacteria; Pseudomonadati; Lentisphaerota.
GGACCCGCACAAGCGGUGGAGCAUGUGGCUUAAUUCGAGGCAACGCGAAGAACCUUACCUGGGCUUGAAAUCAUAUGGACAGUCUAUGAAAGUAGAUUUUCCUUCGGGACUGUAUGACAGGUGCUGCAUGGCUGUCGUCAGCUCGUGCCGUGAGGUGUUCGGUUAAGUCCGGCAACGAGCGCAACCCGUAUCAUUAGUUACCAUCAGGUCAUGCUGGGGACUCUAAUGAGACUGCCCGUGUUAAGCGGGAGGAAGGCGCGGAUGACGUCAAGUCAGUAUGGCCCUUACGUCCAGGGCUGCACACGUGCUACAAUGGCCGGUACAAUGAGACGCAAAACCGCGAGGUGGAGCAAAUCUACAAAACCGGUCUUAGUUCGGAUUGUAGUCUGCAACUCGACUACAUGAAGCCGGAAUCGCUAGUAAAGGCGUAAUCAGCUACGACG